This 224-nucleotide long non-coding RNA is filed under the name Ananas comosus (pineapple). RNAcentral describes it as "long non-coding RNA (ACOM_LNC041923)". Lineage: Eukaryota; Viridiplantae; Streptophyta; Magnoliopsida; Poales; Bromeliaceae. The record is from RNAcentral.
UUAAGUAUUUGGAGCGUUACUGAGAUUCGUUGACCUUCUUGAUCAGCUUUAAGGAUUAGGUGUACUCAAUAGAUCGAGUUGCAAUCUGAUUAUUAUCAGCUUGUGUUAAAGUUUGAGGUUAUGCCUUAAACGAAUUUUGAUGAGGGGCUGGGUGUAAGGAAGUGAAUUCUCGAAAUCCGAGAGUUGAACUUCGAUUUGAAUCGACCAGUUGUCGAUUGGGUAUG